AUUGAACGCUGGCGGCAUGCCUUACACAUGCAAGUCGAACGGUAACAGGUCUUCGGAUGCUGACGAGUGGCGAACGGGUGAGUAAUACAUCGGAACGUGCCUAGUAGUGGGGGAUAACUACUCGAAAGAGUGGCUAAUACCGCAUGAGAUCUACGGAUGAAAGCAGGGGAUCGCAAGACCUUGUGCUACUAGAGCGGCCGAGGGCAGAUUAGGUAGUUGGUGGGAGAAAAGCUUACCAAGCCGACGAUCUGUAGCUGGUCUGAGAGGACGAUCAGCCACACUGGGACUGAGACACGGCCCAGACUCCUACGGGAGGCAGCAGUGGGGAAUUUUGGACAAUGGGCGAAAGCCUGAUCCAGCAAUGCCGCGUGCAGGAUGAAGGCCUUCGGGUUGUAAACUGCUUUUGUACGGAACGAAAAGCCCUGGGUUAAUACCCUGGGGUCAUGACGGUACCGUAAGAAUAAGCACCGGCUAACUACGUGCCAGCCGCCGCCGUAA
RNAcentral lists this ribosomal RNA (498 nucleotides) under uncultured bacterium. RNAcentral describes it as "partial 16S ribosomal RNA". It matches the Rfam family "Bacterial small subunit ribosomal RNA", at positions 30 to 523 of the family's 1533-position model. The record is from RNAcentral.